This is a non-coding RNA of Pelobates cultripes (western spadefoot toad), 312 nucleotides long. Lineage: Eukaryota; Metazoa; Chordata; Amphibia; Anura; Pelobatidae. The record is from the annotation of a GenBank genome assembly.
GCUGUGCACGUGAACAUUUACACAUUUGACCUAUUUAACUACUUUGAUUAAUGUUAUACAUCUGUCCUACAACCAUUCGUUCCAUAGAACUAAAACUGGACACUUGACCAUUUUCUGAUGACAAAGUCUAAUGUGUUAUUUCUGUAGUAGUUAUUACUUCACAAUACAUUUAGACACAGCUCAGUAUCUUGGUAAAUGUCUCUAACUAGUGAUAGCUCGCCACUCCCGUGGUAGUUUGACUCAUAAUGACAUUGAACUUCCCCUCUGUAAUCAUAUUACAGUAAUAGUGAUCUGAGCAUUAUCAAGAUUUAC